GGAGAUUUAGCUCAGUGGUAGAGCACUUGCCUAGCAAGCACAAGGCCCUGGGUUCAGUCCCCAGCUCCG
Molecule: transfer RNA, 69 nt
Filed under: Rattus norvegicus (Norway rat)
Lineage: Eukaryota; Metazoa; Chordata; Mammalia; Rodentia; Muridae
Rfam family: tRNA
About the family: Transfer RNA (tRNA) molecules are approximately 80 nucleotides in length. Their secondary structure includes four short double-helical elements and three loops (D, anti-codon, and T loops). Further hydrogen bonds mediate the characteristic L-shaped molecular structure. tRNAs have two regions of fundamental functional importance: the anti-codon, which is responsible for specific mRNA codon recognition, and the 3' end, to which the tRNAs corresponding amino acid is attached (by aminoacyl-tRNA synthetases). tRNAs cope with the degeneracy of the genetic code in two manners: having more than one tRNA (with a specific anti-codon) for a particular amino acid; and 'wobble' base-pairing, i.e. permitting non-standard base-pairing at the 3rd anti-codon position.
Source: Rfam by way of RNAcentral